GAUGAACGCUGGCGGCGUGCCUAAUACAUGCAGGUUGAGCGAACGGACGAGAAGCUUGCUUCUCUGAUGUUAGCGGCGGACGGGUGAGUAACACGUGGAUAACCUACCUAUAAGACUGGGAUAACUUCGGGAAACCGGAGCUAAUACCGGAUAAUAUUUUGAACCGCAUGGUUCAAAAGUGAAAGACGGUCUUGCUGUCACUUAUAGAUGGAUCCGCGCUGCAUUAGCUAGUUGGUAAGGUAACGGCUUACCAAGGCAACGAUGCAUAGCCGACCUGAGAGGGUGGUCGGCCACACUGGAACUGAGACACGGUCCAGACGCCUACGGGAGGCAGCAGUAGGGAAUCGUCCGCAAUGGGCGAAAGCCUGACGGAGCAACGCCGCGUGAGUGGUGAAGGUCUUCGGAUCGUAAAACUCGGUUAUUAGUGAAGAACAUAUGUGUAAGGAACUGUGCACAUCUUGACGGUACCUAAUCAGAAAGCCACGGCUAACUACGUG
Molecule: ribosomal RNA, 497 nt
Filed under: uncultured bacterium
Lineage: Bacteria
Description: partial 16S ribosomal RNA
Rfam family: Bacterial small subunit ribosomal RNA
Source: RNAcentral